GGAGGAUCACAAGACGAUGGAGAACCACAAAAAGAAGCAUUAGAUUGAGAUGCGUUAGGCAAGAACAUUUCAAACCAUUAGAAUAUGAAAUUUGGGGGAAAAAUAUGUGGAACUAUGAGACUGUGAGAUAAUGGAGAGCUGAAGACAGGAAGAUGUGGAACCACUUGAAAAAUUGGGAAUUAUAAUAUGAUUAUGAAACAGAUGAGCAGAUUUUUCUAAGAAUUUAUACAAAGAACAGCAGUAGAACCUGGGUGUCUGUUCUUGGAACCACAGAGACAAUAUAUUUUAGUCAUGGUCUUUUUAAAAAUCAUGUUUUAAGGUUGUUGUUUUUUUUAAAUAAUUAUCAUCUAACCGGCCAAACUGGACACACAUGACACAACAGUUGGCCAGUUUUCAUUCUCUGAUGGUUAAAGAAUGUGUGGUACAGGUUGAUUUACCUUCAGAUUUUUAUUUUAUUUUUUUUUAACACUAAUUUUAAAAAGAACAACAGUUGAGAUUGGAGAAAGAGGGGUGCUAAUGAUUGUAUAAAUAUAUAAAUACGUAGAUAUAUAUGUAAAAAAAACAAGCAAAAAAAAACGUUCUAUAUGAUAGUGUACAUUUUGUAAAGAGAGCUCUUUGGAUGGAUUUGACUCUUUAUGUACUUUUAAACUCCUUUUAUAUGACAGAGGUUAUAAAGAUGGAGUUGGUGCAAUUCAAAGUACUUCUUUUUGUGAUAAUGUUGUAAUAAGCAGCAUUGGAACUAUUUUCUUGCAGGAAACUAUAUUUUAUAGUCUCUCAAAACCCUUUAUCUUAAACAUAAAUGUAUUUUUCCACAAAGGAAAUAUUAUUGUUUCCUGAUCAUCUUUGUGGUACACUCUGUUUUACGCAAGAGAUACCCAGUGUGUUUAUAUGACAAAUUUCUAUCCCUGACAGUGUGUCACUUCUUUACUGUAGAAUAUUACAAAUUUGCUGCAGUUUUGCACAGAUUACAAUGCUUUUGCUUUUCAAGUGUAGCUGUGAUACAACCUGC
Molecule: long non-coding RNA, 1009 nt
Organism: Ictalurus punctatus (channel catfish)
Lineage: Eukaryota; Metazoa; Chordata; Actinopteri; Siluriformes; Ictaluridae
Source: Ensembl